Molecule: ribosomal RNA, 527 nt
Filed under: Streptomyces sp. MSWC3
Lineage: Bacteria; Bacillati; Actinomycetota; Actinomycetes; Kitasatosporales; Streptomycetaceae
Description: bacterial SSU rRNA
Rfam family: Bacterial small subunit ribosomal RNA
Source: RNAcentral
CCCUGGAAACGGGGUCUAAUACCGGAUACUGAUCCUCGCGGGCAUCUGCGAGGUUCGAAAGCUCCGGCGGUGCAGGAUGAGCCCGCGGCCUAUCAGCUUGUUGGUGAGGUAAUGGCUCACCAAGGCGACGACGGGUAGCCGGCCUGAGAGGGCGACCGGCCACACUGGGACUGAGACACGGCCCAGACUCCUACGGGAGGCAGCAGUGGGGAAUAUUGCACAAUGGGCGAAAGCCUGAUGCAGCGACGCCGCGUGAGGGAUGACGGCCUUCGGGUUGUAAACCUCUUUCAGCAGGGAAGAAGCGAAAGUGACGGUACCUGCAGAAGAAGCGCCGGCUAACUACGUGCCAGCAGCCGCGGUAAUACGUAGGGCGCAAGCGUUGUCCGGAAUUAUUGGGCGUAAAGAGCUCGUAGGCGGCUUGUCACGUCGGUUGUGAAAGCCCGGGGCUUAACCCCGGGUCUGCAGUCGAUACGGGCAGGCUAGAGUUCGGUAGGGGAGAUCGGAAUUCCUGGUGUAGCGGUGAAAUG